UAACGUCCGUCGUGAAGAGGGAAACAACCCAGACCGCCAGCUAAGGUCCCAAAGUCAUGGUUAAGUGGGAAACGAUGUGGGAAGGCCCAGACAGCCAGGAUGUUGGCUUAGAAGCAGCCAUCAUUUAAAGAAAGCGUAAUAGCUCACUGGUCGAGUCGGCCUGCGCGGAAGAUGUAACGGGGCUAAACCAUGCACCGAAGCUGCGGCAGCGAACGUAUCACUUAAAGCGAUUCAGCGGGUUACGAUUGACGGAGCGAAGCGACGUCAAAGCGUAUAGAAAGUCGAGUCGGUUUAAGGAUACGUUCGUUGGGUAGGGGAGCGUUCUGUAAGCCUGUGAAGGUGUGUCGUGAGGCAUGCUGGAGGUAUCAGAAGUGCGAAUGCUGACAUAAGUAACGAUAAUGCGGGUGAAAAACCCGCUCGCCGGAAGACCAAGGGUUCCUGUCCAACGUUAAUCGGGGCAGGGUGAGUCGACCCCUAAGGCGAGGCCGAAAGGCGUAGUCGAUGGGAAACAGGUUAAUAUUCCUGUACUCGGUGUUACUGCGAAGGGGGGACGGAGAAGGCUAUGUUGGCCGGGCGACGGUUGUCCCGGUUUAAGCGUGUAGGUGUGUGGACCAGGCAAAUCCGGUUCACUUUAACACUGAGGCGUGAUGACGAGGCACUACGGUGCUGAAGCAACAAAUGCCCUGCUUCCAGGAAAAGCCUCUAAGCAUCAGGUAACAUCAAAUCGUACCCCAAACCGACACAGGUGGUCAGGUAGAGAAUACCAAGGCGCUUGAGAGAACUCGGGUGAAGGAACUAGGCAAAAUGGUGCCGUAACUUCGGGAGAAGGCACGCUGAUGGUAGGUGAAGUGAUUUACUCAUGGAGCUGAA
RNAcentral lists this ribosomal RNA (870 nucleotides) under Salmonella enterica subsp. enterica serovar Krefeld. RNAcentral describes it as "partial 23S ribosomal RNA". It matches the Rfam family "Bacterial large subunit ribosomal RNA", at positions 999 to 1781 of the family's 2925-position model. Lineage: Bacteria; Pseudomonadati; Pseudomonadota; Gammaproteobacteria; Enterobacterales; Enterobacteriaceae. The record is from RNAcentral.